UUAAUUGAAGCCAAAACAGAGGCUUAUUAUUGUUAAUAAUAAAAUUAUAGAUCUUAUCAAUUAAA
RNAcentral lists this transfer RNA (65 nucleotides) under Xenos yangi. RNAcentral's name for it is "tRNA-Asn". The record is from RNAcentral. Lineage: Eukaryota; Metazoa; Arthropoda; Insecta; Strepsiptera; Xenidae.